GCCGCACCUUAACAAUGAAUCAUUUUAAGUCUUAUGAUUGAGGCUGUGAGACGUUUAGGGGAGUCAGGGAAAUCCUUGUCAUUUCAGACGCUAGAAUACACAUAUGGGCUGCCUGAGGAAGCGAAGCAGAGUGAAUUGCUGAACACUUGGGAGAGAUGUUCUGAGGAUACGCAGAGGAUGAGCAGGGAUGAUAUUCUCCUAGUUGUUCCCAUGGUGGACGGCAAAUGAUUGUUGAAAGGAUGAAUUAAAUAUUGCUUGGAGUAAGUGCCAAUUCAUUGAAAUUUGAAAAUAUAUAUUUUUUUCUUUAUAGAGAAUUCUGCUUAA
Molecule: long non-coding RNA, 324 nt
Filed under: Mustela putorius furo (domestic ferret)
Lineage: Eukaryota; Metazoa; Chordata; Mammalia; Carnivora; Mustelidae
Description: lncRNA (ENSMPUG00000027350.1)
Source: RNAcentral